Molecule: non-coding RNA, 319 nt
Organism: Cinara cedri
Lineage: Eukaryota; Metazoa; Arthropoda; Insecta; Hemiptera; Aphididae
Source: the annotation of a GenBank genome assembly
AUAAUUAAAACUAUCGGAUUUUGUUCGUUAUACGCGUUCACGUUACCUACAUUCUCUAUUUCUCUCUCUCUCUCAAUUUUUUCCCCUCGUCUACAAUGUUAUCAUUAUUAUUACACUCUGUGAAGUGUUUCGGAGGCCCACAAACUGCUCAAAUAUAUACUGAACUAAUGACAACUGUCACACGCAAUAAUAAUACGCGAUGCGAACGGUCUCGUACCUACUAUGUGAUAAUAGGUGGGAACAAACGACGUGUCUUCGGUUUGUAACAUGGAAAUAUUGUCACGAUGGCAAACUAUAACAAAUACGCGUAUACCUAACC